UGGUGGAGUGAUUUGUCUGGUUAAUUCCGAUAACGAACGAGACCUUAACCUACUAACUAGACCAAUAGACCACGGUCUAUUGGAGCUUCUUAGAGGGACUGUGUGGUACAACCUCAAGGAAGUUUAAGGCAAUAACA
RNAcentral lists this ribosomal RNA (137 nucleotides) under uncultured eukaryote. RNAcentral's name for it is "partial 18S ribosomal RNA". It matches the Rfam family "Eukaryotic small subunit ribosomal RNA", at positions 1299 to 1458 of the family's 1831-position model. The record is from RNAcentral.